RNAcentral lists this non-coding RNA (30 nucleotides) under Mus musculus (house mouse). Lineage: Eukaryota; Metazoa; Chordata; Mammalia; Rodentia; Muridae. The record is from RNAcentral.
UACAAAUGCCUCUAUCACAACUUGGUAAGC